Molecule: ribosomal RNA, 245 nt
Filed under: uncultured bacterium
Lineage: Bacteria
Description: partial 16S ribosomal RNA
Rfam family: Bacterial small subunit ribosomal RNA
Source: RNAcentral
UACGGAAGGGGCGAGCGUUGUUCGGAAUCAUUGGGCGUAAAGGGCGCGUAGGUGGUCUUGUGUGUCUACCGUGAAAGCACACGGCUCAACCGUGUUUGGUCGGUAGAAACUGCAGGACUUGAGGCUGGGAGGGGCUGGUGGAAUUCCCCGUGUAGCGGUGAAAUGCGUAGAGAUGGGGGAGAACACUCGUGGCGAAGGCGGCCAGCUAGACCAGUUCUGACACUGAGGCGCGAUAGCGUGGGGAG